Molecule: unclassified non-coding RNA, 16 nt
Filed under: human gammaherpesvirus 4 (Epstein-Barr virus)
Lineage: Duplodnaviria; Heunggongvirae; Peploviricota; Herviviricetes; Herpesvirales; Orthoherpesviridae
Description: Human gammaherpesvirus 4 (Epstein-Barr virus) miscellaneous RNA
Source: RNAcentral
AAAAAUUUAAUUAUGU